CCCGAUAGACAUUAUGCCUGGAAUGGUUUAUGUUUCAAAUGAUUUAUCGCCAUAGGAUGGGACUGCGGCCUAUCAGUUUGUUGGUGAGGUAAUGGCCCACCAAGACUAUUACAGGUACGGGCUCUGAGAGGAGUAGCCCGGAGAUGGGUACUGAGACACGGACCCAGGCCCUAUGGGGCGCAGCAGGCGAGAAAACUUUGCAAUGUGCGAAAGCACGACAAGGUUAAUCCGAGUGGUUUCUGCUAAAGAAACCUUUUGUCAGUCCUAGAAACACUAACGAAUAAGGGGUGGGCAAGUUCUGGUGUCAGCCGCCGCGGUAAAACCAGCACCUCAAGUGGUCAGGAUGAUUAUUGGGCCUAAAGCAUCCGUAGCUCGUUUUGUAAGUUUUCGGUUAAAUCCAUGCGCUUAACGUAUGGGCUGCCGGGAAUACUGCAUAACUAGGAAGUGGGAGAGGUAGACGGUACUCGGGAGGAAGGGGUAAAAUCCUUUGAUCUAUUGAUGACCACCUGUGGCGAAGGCGGUCUACCAGAACACGUUCGACGGUGAGGGAUGAAAGCUGGGGGAGCAAACCGGAUUAGAUACCCGGGUAGUCCCAGCUGUAAACUAUGCAAACUCAGUGAUGCAUUGGCUUAUGGCCAAUGCAGUGCUGCAGGGAAGCCGUUAAGUUUGCCGCCUGGGAAGUACGUACGCAAGUAUGAAACUUAAAGGAAUUGGCGGGGGAGCACCACAAGGGGUGAAGCCUGCGGUUCAAUUGGAGUCAACGCCAGAAAUCUUACCCGGAGAGACAGCAGAAUGAAGGUCAAGCUGAAGACUUUACCAGACAAGCUGAGAGGUGGUGCAUGGCCGUCGCCAGCUCGUGCCGUGAGAUGUCCUG
This 874-nucleotide ribosomal RNA is filed under the name freshwater sediment metagenome. RNAcentral's name for it is "bacterial SSU rRNA". It matches the Rfam family "Archaeal small subunit ribosomal RNA", at positions 152 to 1028 of the family's 1478-position model. The record is from RNAcentral.